This 88-nucleotide transfer RNA is filed under the name Halovulum marinum. RNAcentral describes it as "Rhodobacteraceae bacterium 2CG4 tRNA-Ser". It matches the Rfam family "tRNA". Rfam says of the family: Transfer RNA (tRNA) molecules are approximately 80 nucleotides in length. Their secondary structure includes four short double-helical elements and three loops (D, anti-codon, and T loops). Further hydrogen bonds mediate the characteristic L-shaped molecular structure. tRNAs have two regions of fundamental functional importance: the anti-codon, which is responsible for specific mRNA codon recognition, and the 3' end, to which the tRNAs corresponding amino acid is attached (by aminoacyl-tRNA synthetases). tRNAs cope with the degeneracy of the genetic code in two manners: having more than one tRNA (with a specific anti-codon) for a particular amino acid; and 'wobble' base-pairing, i.e. permitting non-standard base-pairing at the 3rd anti-codon position. The record is from RNAcentral. Lineage: Bacteria; Pseudomonadati; Pseudomonadota; Alphaproteobacteria; Rhodobacterales; Paracoccaceae.
GGAGGUGUGGCCGAGCGGUCGAAGGCACUGGUCUUGAAAACCAGCAGGGGGCAACCCUUCGUGGGUUCGAAUCCCACCGCCUCCGCCA